GACGAAGGGGGCAAGCGUUGUUCGGAAUUACUGGGCGUAAAGGGCGCGUAGGCGGUUCUUUAAGUCAGGCGUGAAAGCCCUGGGCUCAACCUGGGAGUGGCGCUUGAUACUGGGGGACUAGAGAGUGGGAGAGGUUGGUGGAAUUCCCAGUGUAGAGGUGAAAUUCGUAGAUAUUGGGAAGAACACCGGUGGCGAAGGCGGCCAACUGGACCAUUUCUGACGCUGAGGCGCGAAAGCGUGGGGAGCAAACAGGAUUAGAUACCCUGGUAGUCCACGCUGUAAACGAUGAGUGCUGGACGUUGCGGAGCUUGCUCUGCGGUGUCGUAGCUAACGCGCUAAGCACUCCGCCUGGGGAGUACGGCCGCAAGGUUG
RNAcentral lists this ribosomal RNA (372 nucleotides) under uncultured bacterium. RNAcentral's name for it is "bacterial SSU rRNA". It matches the Rfam family "Bacterial small subunit ribosomal RNA", at positions 524 to 896 of the family's 1533-position model. The record is from RNAcentral.